Molecule: long non-coding RNA, 529 nt
Filed under: Homo sapiens (human)
Lineage: Eukaryota; Metazoa; Chordata; Mammalia; Primates; Hominidae
Description: chromosome 2 open reading frame 92 (ENSG00000291598.1)
Source: RNAcentral
GGUCUCACCUUGUUGCCCAAGCUGGAGUGCAGUUGCCUGAUAUCAGCUCACUGCAACCUCCACCUCCCAGGCUCAAGCUAUCCUCCUGCCUCAGCCUUCCAAGUAGCUGGGACCACAGGUGUGCACCAUCACGCCCAGAUGGAGUGUCGCUCUCUCACCCAGGCUGGAGUGCAGUGGCGCUAUCUUGGCUCACUGCAACAUCUGCUUCCCAGGUUCAAGUGAUUAUCCUGCCUCAGCCUCCCAAGUUGCUGGGAUUACAGGCGUGUGCCACCACGCCUGGCUAAUUUACUAAACUAAUAAAUUACUAAAUUAGUAAGUUACUAGUAAAUUAGUAAUUACUAAAAUAUAAUUUUUAGUAGAGAUGGGAUUUCAUCAUGUUGGCCAGGCUGGUCAUGAACUCCUGACCUCAAUGGAUCCUCCUGCCUCAGCUUCCUGAGUAGCUGGGACCACAGGUGCACACCACCACGCCCAGGUAAUUAAUUUUUAUUUUUUGUAGAGUCGGGGGUCUCCCUAUGUUUCCCAGGCUGGC